This 495-nucleotide ribosomal RNA is filed under the name uncultured bacterium. RNAcentral describes it as "partial 16S ribosomal RNA". It matches the Rfam family "Bacterial small subunit ribosomal RNA", at positions 28 to 507 of the family's 1533-position model. The record is from RNAcentral.
GACGAACGCUGGCGGCGUGCCUAAUACAUGCAAGUAGAACGCUGAAGGAGGAGCUUGCUUCUCUGGAUGAGUUGCGAACGGGUGAGUAACGCGUAGGUAACCUGCCUGGUAGCGGGGGAUAACUAUUGGAAACGAUAGCUAAUACCGCAUAAUAGUAGAUGUUGCAUGACAUUUGCUUAAAAGGUGCAAUUGCAUCACUACCAGAUGGACCUGCGUUGUAUUAGCUAGUUGGUGGGGUAACGGCUCACCAAGGCGACGAUACAUAGCCGACCUGAGAGGGUGAUCGGCCACACUGGGACGGAGACACGGCCCAGACUCCUACGGGAGGCAGCAGUAGGGAAUCUUCGGCAAUGGACGGAAGUCUGACCGAGCAACGCCGCGUGAGUGAAGAAGGUUUUCGGAUCGUAAAGCUCUGUUGUAAGAGAAGAACGAGUGUGAGAGUGGAAAGUUCACACUGUGACGGUAUCUUACCAGAAAGGGACGGCUAACUACGUG